This 100-nucleotide non-coding RNA is filed under the name Vibrio ponticus. Its description in RNAcentral is "Guanine sequence". It matches the Rfam family "Purine riboswitch aptamer". From Rfam's summary of the family: Riboswitches are metabolite binding domains within certain messenger RNAs that serve as precision sensors for their corresponding targets. Allosteric rearrangement of mRNA structure is mediated by ligand binding, and this results in modulation of gene expression. Lineage: Bacteria; Pseudomonadati; Pseudomonadota; Gammaproteobacteria; Vibrionales; Vibrionaceae. The record is from RNAcentral.
AACCAUUUAUAAGCAGUGCUUCGUAUAAUCCCACUAAUAAGGUGUGGGAGUCUCUACCUGGAGCCGCAAAUUCCAGAUUACGAAGAGUUAAGUGCAUGGC